Molecule: unclassified non-coding RNA, 438 nt
Filed under: Zea mays
Lineage: Eukaryota; Viridiplantae; Streptophyta; Magnoliopsida; Poales; Poaceae
Description: misc RNA Zm00001eb073890
Source: RNAcentral
CUGCUUCAGCCAAGAGACGGCAGGCAGAAAAACAAGAGACGACAACUGGGAGAGCGCAGGUGUGACCCGUACGUACCUUCUUGGAGGCCCUCUCCACGAGCUUCUUGACGAACAUGGUGGCCGGUUGUCGAUUCACGGCGCGGCGCGGCGCGCUGGAGGACCACGCGAGAGAAAAGCCCCCGCAACCGGAUCAACUCGGGCCGAGAUCGGCUACCCCGCCUUCCCUUCACGGGAGGAAGAAGAAGCAGGCAGCGCCCCCUCCAAGUUGCCGACGUACUGUUCAGGAGCGGGAUCGAAACGAAACCGACCAAGACAACGCAAGGCAGGGCAGAGAGAGAGAUGGCGUGGCGUCGAGGAUGGCAGGGGAGGAUGGGGGAGGGGAUGAGUUGGCGUUCGGAGGGCAGUUAAGGAUCAGGUUUUGGUGGCUUCCUGGCCCUU